RNAcentral lists this long non-coding RNA (835 nucleotides) under Chloebia gouldiae (Gouldian finch). RNAcentral's name for it is "Erythrura gouldiae (Gouldian finch) lncRNA (ENSEGOG00005002865.1)". Lineage: Eukaryota; Metazoa; Chordata; Aves; Passeriformes; Passeridae. The record is from RNAcentral.
CAAAUGAGCAGCCCGGGAUUUUCCGGCACAGAGGACAUUGAGGAACAUUGAGGGAAAAGGAUAUCUUCUUCAAGGAAGACAGAAACCAUUCUGGAUUUCUUGAUGUUGCUGAACUGAAGAAUGCAAUACAAGCAGCAGCGUGUCUUCCCUCGGCAGGUCUGGCCACCGACGCGCAGCUGCUGCGCCUGAUGACGCUGCGCUACGGCGAUGCCUCCGGCAGGGUUGGCUUCUCCGACUUCGUGUGCUGCAUGCUGCGCCUCGACACCAUGACCCAUGCAUUCCAAAACUUAGCAGAGGGUGGAUCACAAAUUUGGAUGACAGCAAUGGAGUGGCUGACUCUUGUCAUGUACACCUAGAGAGAUGCCAGAGGUCAUGGUGACUUUUCUUCCUCCUCAGUAGAGCAGUGCCCAAGACCAUCCCAUACAAAAGCCAUCCACGGAGUCCUUGAAAAACCACUGUGAAGGAGUGAAGCCAGGUGUCCUCAUGCUUGGUGGUACUCAGAUGCUGGGAUGAAGAGUCCUUUCCAGGCAAACUGGAGGUGCCUUGGAGAGAGAAGAAUUGCUAAUGAAAGUACUCCAUGGGCAAGCUGGCAGUGUGGAGUGUAAUCUCUUCUCAUCUUCCUAUAAAUAGUACAGAAGUUAGGAACAGUUCUAUUGACUCCGCUAUGAAAAAGAACAGACCCAUGCCUUUUGUGUGAAAGGAAUGUAUAAGAUGUAGGUUACAUAAACAAUUAAGACACAGUUUUAUUUUAAUUAUUUCUUAAUUUUCUUGUGUGCCAUUUACAUGUGCCAGAAAAUGAUUGAAGAAAUUAGUCAUAAUUCAUAAAUAACACCAG